This 549-nucleotide long non-coding RNA is filed under the name Setaria viridis. Its description in RNAcentral is "long non-coding RNA (SVIR_LNC002348)". Lineage: Eukaryota; Viridiplantae; Streptophyta; Magnoliopsida; Poales; Poaceae. The record is from RNAcentral.
UUUUUGUGUGGAGUUACAAUCAAAUGUGUCUUGCGAUGAAACUAUAAUAUCCUCAGGGCAAGUUUCAAUUGGUUUCAUUGAUUUGGUAACUGUGCCAGUUGGAUUUUAUGGGAUGAAACUCCCCUCUUCUCUCUUCUCAUAAUUAAGUUGCUAAGUCAGCAAAACUGCUUAUGUGGCAUAGGAUUUAAUGGCCCGUGAAACCUCGCUGAAACCGGCCUAAAAGCCAGGAGACUCAUGCGGGCUUUUAAUGUUCACGCUGUUUUUGCCAAGAUGGCCGGCCCAAAAACAAGCCAUUCUCUGUCUCGAACAGCCCUGCUUCUUACCCAUAAAAACACCCUACAUGUGACAAUACAGACGCAUAAAAACAGCCCAAAAUAGUACCUCAGUCCCUUCAAAGAAGGUUAUACUCCCACCGGGCACCGGCCCAAUCAUCUACAGCGGUCACACUAUACAGACGCAUCGCUAUUAUCGGUCGACACAAACCUAGCUACCUGCAAAGGAGGAUCUCUGAUCUCUGAUCCCUCCCUGUGUUGUUUCCCUUGUCCUCUG